GUAGUCUCGCACAGAUGCAUAUCAAUAAGCGGAGGAAAAGAAACUAACAAGGAUUCCCUUAGUAACGGCGAGUGAAGCGGGAAGAGCUCAAAUUUGAAAUCUUCAAGGUUUUACCUUGACGAAUUGUAGUUUAAAGAAGUGUUUUCUGUUGAAGUUUUGGUAAAAGUUCUUUGGAAUAGGACAUCAUAGAGGGUGAGAAUCCCGUAUUUGACCAUUAUUUUCAGCUGUGUGAUACACUUUCAAAGAGUCGGGUUGUUUGGGAAUGCAGCCCAAAACGGGAGGUAAAUUUCUUCUAAGGCUAAAUAUUGGCGAGAGACCGAUAGCGAACAAGUACCGUGAGGGAAAGAUGAAAAGAACUUUGAAAAGAGAGUUAAAUAGUACGUGAAAUUGUCAAAAGGGAAGCGUUUAACACCAGUGUUGUUUUCUGAAAAUCAACCUCUGUUAGCUUUAUGCAUGUUUGUUUAGACCUAAUCAGCUAUCUUGCAUGUUCUAUUGUUUGCAGUGGUGCACUUUUCAGUUUACAGGUCAACAUCAGUUUUUUUUACCGUAAAAAAGUUAAAGAAAGGUAGCUCAUGGCUCCGGUCGUGAGUGUUAUAGUCUUUUUCCUAUGCGGUAGGAGAGACUGAGGUCUGCAGUGUAGGCUAUUUGGCUAGAUACUCAGGUGCUAUGUGAUACCAUUUCAUAAACAACUUGUUGAUUAUGUUUUGUCUAUUGCAUACUCGCUUGUACUAGCAUACCUACGCUUAGGAUGUUGAAGAUGUAGCACAUCAU
Molecule: ribosomal RNA, 771 nt
Filed under: uncultured Neocallimastigales
Lineage: Eukaryota; Fungi; Neocallimastigomycota; Neocallimastigomycetes; Neocallimastigales
Description: partial large subunit ribosomal RNA
Rfam family: Eukaryotic large subunit ribosomal RNA
Source: RNAcentral